Molecule: ribosomal RNA, 479 nt
Filed under: uncultured bacterium
Lineage: Bacteria
Description: partial 16S ribosomal RNA
Rfam family: Bacterial small subunit ribosomal RNA
Source: RNAcentral
GAUGAACGCUGGCGGCGUGCUUAACACAUGCAAGUCGAACGGAACUACUCCAAUGAGAGUCUUCGGAAAGGAUUUGGUUUAGUUUAGUGGCGGACGGGUGAGUAACGCGUGGGUAACCUGCCCUAAAAAGGGGGAUAAAAGUGGGAAACGACGGUUAAUACGCCAUAAGCGCAAAGGAGCGCAUGCUCGGGGGGGAAAAACCCCGGUGGUAUAGGAUGGACCCGCGUCUGAUUAGCUGGUUGGCGGGGUAACGGCCCACAAAGGCGACGAUCAGUAGCCGGACUGAGAGGGUGAACGGCCACAUUGGGACUGAGACACGGCCCAAACUCCUACGGGAGGCAGCAGUGGGGAAUAUUGCACAAUGGGGGAAACCCUGAUGCAGCGACGCCGCGUGAGCGAAGAAGUAUCUCGGUAUGUAAAGCUCUAUCAGCAGGGAAGAAAAUGACGGUACCUGACUAAGAAGCCCCGGCUAACUACGU